Molecule: ribosomal RNA, 460 nt
Filed under: uncultured bacterium
Lineage: Bacteria
Description: partial 16S ribosomal RNA
Rfam family: Bacterial small subunit ribosomal RNA
Source: RNAcentral
CCUACGGGGUGCAGCAGUGAGGAAUAUUGGUCAAUGGACGAGAGUCUGAACCAGCCAAGUAGCGUGAAGGAUGACUGCCCUAUGGGUUGUAAACUUCUUUUAUAUGGGAAUAAAAUGUUCCACGUGUGGGAUUUUGUAUGUACCAUAUGAAUAAGGAUCGGCUAACUCCGUGCCAGCAGCCGCGGUAAUACGGAGGAUCCGAGCGUUAUCCGGAUUUAUUGGGUUUAAAGGGAGCGUAGGUGGAUUGUUAAGUCAGUUGUGAAAGUUUGCGGCUCAACCGUAAAAUUGCAGUUGAAACUGGCAGUCUUGAGUACAGUAGAGGUGGGCGGAAUUCGUGGUGUAGCGGUGAAAUGCUUAGAUAUCACGAAGAACUCCGAUUGCGAAGGCAGUUCACUGGACUGCAACUGACACUGAGGCUCGAAGGUGUGGGUAUCAAACAGGAUUAGAUACCCCUGUAGUC